This 2776-nucleotide long non-coding RNA is filed under the name Sus scrofa (pig). Its description in RNAcentral is "lncRNA (ENSSSCG00000062216.1)". The record is from RNAcentral. Lineage: Eukaryota; Metazoa; Chordata; Mammalia; Artiodactyla; Suidae.
AUGGCUGAGUAGUAUUCCAUUGUUUAUAUGUACCAUGUCUUGUUAAUGCAUUCAUCUGUCCUUGUUGGACAUUUAGAUUGUUUCCAUGUCUUGGCUGUUUUGAGUAGUGCUGCAGCGAACAUAGGGGUGCAUGUCUCUUUUUCAGUGCAACAUUUGACAUGGAUAUACAAACACCUAAGUGAGUAUGUAGGGUCAGUAGUUGGAGAUAAAAAUCUAGAGGUCAAAUAAUAAAUCAGGAUUGAAGUCCUAUAGUUCAAUGGUAGACAUAAAUAGCUUUAUUUAGAGCUAUUUCAGAAAGAGCUUGAGAAGAGAUGUACUUCCUCAGAUAUUUAAAGGCAUAUCCAGUAUUUGAGGCUUAUCAAAAACUGCAGGUGAAGUUAAUGACAGAGAAGAAGACAGAAAGAGAAUGGGUUUUGACAAAAAAAUAGUAGAAAUGGGGCAAAGAUUUUUGACAAGCAGAAAACUAUGAGGGCUUUGGAUAUCCAGUGGGUUUUGAAAAUACAUAUUCUAGGAGUUCUCCAGUGCCACAGAUGGUUAAGGGUCUAGCAUUGUUACUGGAGCCACUUGGGUCACUGCUGUGGUGUGGGAUCGAUCUCUGGCCUGUGAACUUCCACAUGCCUCAAAUGUGGCCAAAAAAUUAAAAUAUUCUAUUCAGAUGAGCUGAAGAUGGAACAUGUAACUUUGCUAAGAAAUUUGUUGCUCAUCUAUGUAGUCUAGAGAUAUAUGAGCCUGGUUAAUUGAAACCAUAUCUGGUUUUGUUAAUUAUAAUUACUGAAGUUCCCAUAGCAUGACCAGGAAGUACAAUGUUAUUUUUAUCCUCAGUCUUGUGAGGCAGAUGAUAUAAGAACAAAACAAUUUGUAUACAAACAUGUGGAAUGAUUAAUCCAGAAUUUAAUGUGGUUUAACCUGUUUUCCAGACCCAGUAAAUGGCUGAACCAGAAUUCUUUUUUUUUAAAUAUAUUUUUAUAUAUUUGAACCAGAUUUCUAACCUAUCUUUUUCUUUCUAGGUCUAAUGUUCUUUCUAUAACACAAUGCCUUUUGUUCUUAACAAAUGCAUAUUUUUAUUAUUAUUAUUAUUGUAAGUUAAUGCACUGUUUUCAAGAGACUGAAAAAACUGCCUGAUUAAGAGCUUGCAUAUUGACAUCAGGUUGCCCAUAUAUGAUUUCUAGAUUAGCCAUUAAAUCCAUCUGUGUGACCUUGGAAAUUGACCUUUCUAAGGGUCAAUUUCCUCACCUGUGAAAGUGUAUUAACAAUGUUUCCUUCAUGGUAUCACUUUAAUGUUAAAGUGAAAUAAAAGUGUCAGAUUUAUGCCAUGCUAAACUUCUCUGAUCAAAAAUUUUUUUAAAUAAUGAAAUGAUAAUUAUUUAAAUAAUGAAUUGGGUCCCUUUUUAUGUCUUUUGGGGGGGGCUGCACUCACAGCAUAUGGUAAUUGCCAGGCUAAGGGUCGAAUUGGAGCUACAGCUGCUGGCUUACACCAUAGCCACAGCAUCAUGGGAUCCGAGCCCCAUCUGCAACUUACACAGCAGCUCACAGCAAUGCUGCAUCCUUACCCAACAGAGUGAGAAGGGAUCUAAUCCAUGUUCUCAUGGAUACUAGUCAGGUUCAUUUCCACUGAGCCCUCAUAGGAACUCCAGAACUGGAUCCCUUUUAAAAGGCACUUAACAUCAUCCUUUUUUUUUUUUUUCUCUAAAGUAUUUAACAAAAAAUGCAGACUUUAUUUUGUCUUUUUGACAUUUUCUUGGGCCGCUUCUGCAGCAUAUGGAGGUUCCCAAGCUAGGGGUCCAGUCAGAGCUGUAGCCACUGGCCUAUGCCAGAGCCACAGCAAUGCAGGAUCUGAGCCGCAAAUGCAACCUACACCACAGCUCUCGGCAAUGCCGGAUCCUUAACCCACUAAGCAAGGCCAGGGAUGGAGCCCACAACCUCAUAGUUCCUGGUCAGAUUUGUUAACCACUGUGCCACGAUGGGAACUCCCAGAAAAUGCAAACUUUUAAAAGAAUGAAUUCCAGGAUUUUUUACUGAAAUGUCUUCAUAGGCUGUUAUUGAAUAAGUUUGAAAUAACUAUAAUUUUUCAGAUAUCUACUUACUUAUGAACCCAGAAACAUUUGUUUUAUGCCAUAAUUAAGCAGUAAAAGCUGUGCUUUAAUUAUUUAAGUUCAAAGGUUAUACUUUUUGUGGUAAUUACACUGGUUCAAAAUUCUGAACAUAAUUAUAGCAACUAAUGAGACUGUUUCUCUGCUCUGUAUAACAGGUACCAUUUAUAACCAGUUAUUUAGAGAAUUCCUAGGACUUAUUUUCAGUUAGGAUAUUUGAGAUAAUUAAAAGUUUAUCUGCACUCUAGAAUAAAAGUAAUUGAUAGCAGAUGUGAAUGAAGAAAGUUUGUUUUUCUCUGAAAAUAGUGCAAUAGUUGUUUCAGUGGGAAAAUACAAUAUCAACUGAUUGUGGGAUUAAUAUAUUAUCUGCCAAGCACCAUAAUACAUAAUGAAUCCAAAACAAAAGCAGCUCUUUUAGAAAUGGUAUCUGGAAUAAAUGUUCCAGGAUCAUCUAAGUAGGUAAUGUGGCCAGAUGUGUGAGGCACUUAGGUCCCAUUGAUCUCUAUGACUUCUCUGUUUCUUAACUCACUAUACAGAACACAGUCAACACUGAGUGACAGUAUGAAGUAAAGCAUAUCACAGCCUUUUGCUCGCACACAUUCAAAGGAUUUUCUCAUAAGAUCCAUAGUGUAACCACAAAACAUCCUGAUGUAUUCACCCUUUGGACCUGAUAUCACAAAAUCAAC